CGCGAGGUUGAAUCUAUAAAUUGGUGGCUGAGUUAAUUGAUGGUUAAGAAGCAAAUGAGAGUAGUGGUAGUAUAAGAUAGGAAAUUUGUGUGUGAUUAUAAGAUCAGCAAAUCAUGGAUUUGAGUGCUAUAUUUAGAGACAUGCUUGCAGAUCUGGAGGCUGAGGAAGCAGCCCAAAAGUCUUACACCAACCGUAGGGAUGGUUCUCAGAACAUCACUGGCAGAAAGAGCAACAAUGGUGUAAAAUCAGAUAAAAGUAUUGGAUUCACCGGAGACGGAAACGGAAAUUAUUAUACAUUAUUUAAAAUAAAAUAAUAUUUGUAUUUGUAAAAGAAAAUAAUAAAAGAUAGUAUUAAAUGAAUGUGAAAAUUUUAUGUUUCUCGGAGUAUUCUUACUUUUUAAAGAUUAUCACAUAAAAGCCUGCAGCUGUAGUAAGUGUAUUCCUAAUAAUUACUUCAUAGAGGGAUGGUAGACAUCAUCAUGCUUCACAAAUUUCCUCUGCUUGAAUAUAGUUAUCACCCUCUUACAAAUAUACUUUUCUGUAUAAAGUUAAUUAAUCGAGAUCCUCUUUUUACUUAUGAAUUAUAAUUGUAAAUAUGUAAUCUAGCGUUUCCUUGACUGAUACCGGCAAUCAUCCUAAAUGUAACAAUUUCUAUAGUAUUUGUUUUUUAAGUUCGACGUGUUGAAUAAGAGGAGAUUGUUUCCAUUGUUUUAUGAAACAAAUUUGCCAUUAUGAUCUUACUCUUUACACACCUCACCCGUCUCAACUUCUUUUCUUAUUGAAUUGCCUUAACGUACUCACUAACUUCGCUUAAUUUAUGGCAACAACUAAAGGAAUCCAAAUCUUAACGUUUAUACGGAGAUUAUUUAACUAACAACUUGGAUUCAAGGUAAGAGUUUCACAAAAAUAUAAUGUGCGUCAUGCAUGCAAUACCAGCCAUAUAUUCUGUAUCAGCACAAGUUCUGCUUCAACCUGAAGUCUUUGACUUGAGAAUAUAUCUGUUGUCACGUGUUGCAAGGGCAUUGCAUUGCCUAUCCACACAAGUUGUUCUCCUAGCAAUUUGUGUUCAGCUUCUUUGCGUUACGUAAUAUCACUAUCGUCAUGCAAGCUAUAAUACCCACUCAUGAUAAGACGGACGGACCAAACGAAACCUAACUACCUUUAAUAAUUUAGAUAAAUGCAAGGAGGAAGUUGGAAUCCAAUUCAAUUAGAAUCUUUCUUUUCAAUUGUCGUGAGUGAUGCGAUUUAUAGAUAGAUCAGAAUUUUGAGCCAAAUUCACAGUACCCGGAAAAAAAAAUCUCAGAUUGCCUGAGCCUGUUC
Molecule: small RNA, 1320 nt
Filed under: Vigna angularis var. angularis
Lineage: Eukaryota; Viridiplantae; Streptophyta; Magnoliopsida; Fabales; Fabaceae
Description: Non-protein coding transcript
Source: RNAcentral